UGGGGAAUAUUGGGCAAUGGGCGCAAGCCUGACCCAGCAACGCCGCGUGAAGGAAGAAGGCUUUCGGGUUGUAAACUUCUUUUGUCGGGGAAGAUGAAUGAGACGGUACCCGACGAAUAAGCCACGGCUAACUACGUGCCAGCAGCCGCGGUAAUACGUAGGUGGCAAGCGUUGUCCGGAUUUACUGGGUGUAAAGGGCGUGUAGGCGGGAUGAUAAGUCAGAUGUGAAAGCCAUGGGCUCAACCCAUGGUCUGCAUUAGAAACUGUUGUUCUUGAGUACCGGAGAGGUUGACGGAAUUCCUGGUGUAGCGGUGAAAUGCGUAGAUAUCAGGAGGAACACCGGUGGCGAAGGCGGUCAACUGGACGGCAACUGACGCUGAGGCGCGAAAGCGUGGGGAGCAAACAGG
Molecule: ribosomal RNA, 407 nt
Filed under: uncultured bacterium
Lineage: Bacteria
Description: bacterial SSU rRNA
Rfam family: Bacterial small subunit ribosomal RNA
Source: RNAcentral